Colobus angolensis palliatus is the source of this 84-nucleotide microRNA precursor. The record is from Ensembl. Lineage: Eukaryota; Metazoa; Chordata; Mammalia; Primates; Cercopithecidae.
CUAUUCGAUUGGUGCAGAAGUAAUUGCGGUUUUUGCCAUUACUUUAAUUGCAAAAACUGCAAUAACUUUUGCACUAACCUAAUA